Biomphalaria glabrata is the source of this 8074-nucleotide RNA transcript. RefSeq lists it as uncharacterized. The transcript has 2 exons. The record is from RefSeq and is a predicted model, not a curated record. Lineage: Eukaryota; Metazoa; Mollusca; Gastropoda; Planorbidae.
CCCCCCCUCAGAAUACGCAUCGCUCUAAGAAUAGCGUUGCAAUCGGGCUGGACAAAUGCAUAUUCACCUUAGUCCCUACUCUCACGGUACAGGCCAUAAAUCGGACAUGACGCCUGACAUGCCCAGUACAUAGAUACAUGUGAGAAAAUCAGCUAGCUAUCUUCCCCACCCGUUAAACAAAAUGCCCCAACUAUAUAUAGAGAGACCAAAGCAUCCAAGUUAGGCCCGCUAGGAUUCUUACAGUCUCCUCUGUUAGGAAGUUUAGUUGUGAGAUUUCAUUAGGGACAAACGGGUAAGUGUAAACAUUUUACUAUACUCAUUUUAUCUCAUAGGAAUGUGUGAGUACACACUAGUACACAACCACGUUCCCCGUCAUUACAUUAUGACUUUACUAUGUAUGUACAUUGUACUAUUUUAUGUCGAUACUAUAUCUUCAUAUAGUAUUAUUAAUGCCGCUAUGGCUGUCUACAUUUGAAACUAUAGUUAUUAUAUUUAAUUUGUUAUGUUUCAUCCAUUCCUGUAUUUUGGUGAUGGAAGUAAACAAUAACCUUUCGUGAAUCUAAGUACUGUCUAAGAACUUAGAUCACAAUGCUCUAAACUUACAGAGCCCAUGUGAAAUUAAUCAAUUCACAUUUCUGUUGUAUAUCCCUCAUGCAUGUUAUUAUGUCUCCCACCCUUGUGAACUUAUAGUUCCUUGGAUGAAUGUAAUUUUAAUUAACUAUAUCAAACACUUAUUACUGUAGCCAUAUCCCUAAUAUUUUAUUUUCAUCUUAUCCUUUAGUAUAUAAUAUGCUCAUUCCCCAUUUUACUGUAACUGAUUACUUAUCGUCGUAAUCAAACUUAUUGGAUGAAUCUUGACAAGUAUCAUCCUACAUUGUACUAUAGCACAUUUAUUGUGGUUAUCUUACUUAUAUCCUUUGUUAUUGAGUUGUAUACGUACUUUAAAGUUUUAUACAUAAUUGUCUUAAAUGCCUUAUUGGGAUUGAUACCAAUGCCUACAUCUGAAUGAUUGCAAGGCAUAUGGGAAUCCCUACUCAAUGCCUUUAGGAGGUUCCUAAUUGUCUGUCUUAUCCCCAGCCUGGUUGCUACCCCUGAUUGCUACCCCUGAUUGCUACCCCUGGUUACUACACACGAUUGCUACAACUACCAGAUCUCCAUAGAAAGCUGUAACCGAGGCAGACCACACCAGAUACACCCCCCCCCCAUUACAUAUCUGUUAGCAAGAAGGCAUCGCCUACUGUCCUUGGCCUUAACAUAUUGCCCAGUGUCCACAGUGCCCUAUACUGCCCAGUAUCAUCUGCCCAGUACCCGGCCCAAACUGUCCACUGCCCAAUAGUUAUUGCCUAAUGCCGACAGAUUAGAGCAACCUUCGCAGCAGAAGACAAACUGGUGUUGAGUUAGCACGGCUCUCUACGAGCUAGAGAUCACAGCUGAGAGAUCGUCCCACUACAACUUAGUCUGCAGCACCAACCAUCUCUAUUGCUAAACAGGCAGCGGCCUCACCCUAGAGCCAGCUUGCCUACAGCAUAGAGAACAUCCCGAGCCGACGUCCUAAGACAGAGCCGGAUGACUCAUCCUUCUGAGUGCCAGUCCUACGACCGCCAGAAGACGACCCACGGGCUAGCAGAUAAGAAAAUAAGUAGCAGACAUAGGAACAUUCUUCUCCUCCAACCACUCAAUAAUUAGCAAUCCAUGAUGAACAGUUAUUUUAGAUAUUAGCACCUUUACUUCUUUUAUUUUCUUAAUUAUAAUUUUAUUUGAUCACUUUCCUUUGUAAACUUUCAUUCAUUAAAUUAUUUUUAUUUAUGAACUUAUAAUAUUGGUCUGUUCUUACUGUUAGUUGCGGUGUGCCUGUACAAAAUCUUAUAUGUGAGCGGGAUAAAAUUAAUCAAAUUUCCCCUAGACCUAAACAAACAAGCCAAAUAUUAACUAAAUAACAUCUCGUCACAUAUAAAUGUGGUCCCGUCCGGGUAUCUGAAACUAGAAUCCUAUAUUAGACAGGCACAGGCAUACAGCAGUAGAACUUUCCUAAAUUUAAUAUACUUUCAUUAUCUUAAAGUAACGGAUUGCAAACGGAGUGAAGAGUGUUGCUAGAGUCUUUAUUUUAUAUCUAUUUUACUUUAGAUGUUAUCACGUAUUAACUUAGUAUAAUAUUAUUAUUUGUGGUUAUUUUAAGUUGCAUCACUGUACUUAAUAUUGUAUUAUUAUCACGGGCAACGUGGUUGUUGCAUACGGGCUUCAUAUAACGCUCUUAAUUCAAUAAUAUCCCUCCUUGUAGUCUUAUUAGUCUCCCAUCUUAUUUCUCUCAUACACAAAUAAUGGCCAGCAAUACAAGGUCCAAGACUGACUCUGACAGAAAACUCAGAAUACAAGAGUUGACAGAGACAGCGGCAUUGUUAGAGUUAGAGGGUCCAAGUCGCUCUGAUUACAUCCGACAAAAGUUGGAUGAGUGGGAGAAACGAGAAUUCGAGUUAGCAUUAGAAAAGGAAAAACUACAACUCGAACACGAGAGACUCAAAAAUGAGCAUGAGUUAGCCAUGGAGCGGGAGAGACAGGCAACUGAAAGAGCUAAAAUAGCUCAAGAGAAUCAGACGGCUCGCACAGUCGCUGAUUCUCAGCCUGCUAGCCCAGCUUCCAGCCAAGGGUCCUCAAAUAGCUCACCCAGCAUCCCCUUCGAGCCCUUCGAUGAGAAGAGUGAAAGUGUUGAAGUUUAUUUAACACGAUUCGAAGAGGUGGCACGCUAUUAUAGCUUGCCCAAGGAUAGGUGGUGUUUCAGGCUAGCUCAAUGCCUUAGAGGCAAGGCUUACGAGGCUUACACAAAGCUCCCCUCAUACCAAAGGGAGGACUUUGAAGCCCUAAAAGAGGCACUAUUGGUUCAAUUUGAGCUAACCUCUGAUUCAUACCAUAAGAAGUUUCGAGGGUCCCGCCUUGAGCGCAAAGAAACUUAUGUCAAUCUUUGCGACAGGCUGGACAAAUACCUCGGAAAAUGGCUAGCCCUAAGCAAAAUGCCCGAAACGUUUGAAGGUCUUAGAAACCUUAUUCUGGCUGAGCAGCUUCGAGACUGCUUAACGCAGGAAACUCGAAUAUAUGUCAACGAGCAACAGGUGAUUGACCCUUCUGACAUUGCAAUUGCUGCAGACCGAUAUUUAGCUGCUAGACGUGACACUAAGACAAAGACGGAAGACUCAAAGCCCCAAGCAAGCACAAAUAGAGCUAACUCCCACCAAGGGAAAAACAACCCACCCAACCACAAAAACAACCAGGCCGUUCAUCCUCGCCCCAAUACCCCGAACCCUGCUAAUUAUAGAUCUUCUCACCCGCCCCCUAAACAAUGGUGUAAUUUCCAUAAAAUUAACUCGCACGACACUAAAGACUGUCGGAGCAGAGGUAAGCCCACCCAUACUCUAAAUAGUAUACGCAAUCCUGCACCGAGUGAUGCUGAAGCCCUCGUCUUGGCCGCAGUAAGCGCUCAGUCAGGUGAGUCUCCUCAUCCCCCAAGUGUCGAAAAGGCGCUGGUCAACGGGAGGGCUGUGACUUGUCUCAACGACACAGGUUGCUUGGUGGAAGCUGUAGUUCGGGAGUCAUUGGUAAGCCCAAGUGACUACAUCGAGGAGACUACACAAAUCCAAACAGUUGAUUUGGAGAGUCCGCCCAAGACUCUACCUAUGGCUCUCAUAAAUGUAGAGUCAAAAUAUGUCCGCGGUCGCAUCAAAGCGAUUGUGAUGAAAUCCCCAGCCUAUGAUCUCAUAUUAGGCUGCCGAUACGUGUUUCUAGGAACACCACCAUACCCCAGCGUCUCUGCACCUGUUCUCACCAGAUCACAGGUACAAGUGGAAGGAUCUGACUCCCUCAAAGUCAAUACCAUUCCCACUGAGAUUAGGGAAGCUCAGAAGCAAGACCCCUCGCUUCAAAAAUAUCUUAGGCUCGCCCAAGAAGGUGAACCCACCCUUGGCAAGGCACAAUUUUUCUUUAAAACAGGGCUACUAUAUCGACGAGGUAAAGAACCAGAUGCCUGCAACCAGCUGGUGGUGCCCAAACCAUACAGAGAGCAGGUUAUGCAAACAGGUCAUGCCUCCUCUUUAAGUGCCCAUCAAGGUCAGAACUCGACCCUUAACAGGAUCCGAUUCCAUUACUUCUGGCCUGGCAUGACCGAAAACAUCAAACGAUAUGUCGCCUCAUGUCCACAGUGCCAAAAGUUGUCACCAAAGAAUCGCAUUCCGCCCGUUCCUAUGGGAAAAACCCCUUUGAUCGAAACUCCGUUUAAACGAGUAUCUGUGGACAUACUUGGUCCUCUACCCCGCACGAAGAAAAGAAACGCCUACAUUCUUUGUGUCAUAUGUCAAGCAUCAAGAUGGCCAGAGGCCGCCCCUUUGUCAAGCAUAGACUCUAAACAUGUGGCUGAAGCUCUGUUCAAUAUGUUCUCUCGGAUAGGCUUUCCCGAAGAGAUAUUAACAGACAAUGGUUCUCAGUUCACAGGGAAGUUAAUGAAGGAGGUGUAUGCUCUCUUUAAUGCGAAACAUCUCCGGUCUUCGGUAUACCACCCCCAAGCAAAUGGUCUUGUAGAACGGUUCAAUCACACUUUGGUAACGAUGCUUAAACGCCUCAUCGAUGAUAAACCAAAAGAGUGGGACACUUACCUACCUGCUGCUUUAUUCGCUUACCGAGAGGUACCUCACGCCAGUCUAGGGUAUUCGCCAUACCAGAUCAUCUUUGGAUCUCAUCCCCGUGGCCCACUAGAAAUCCUAAAACAAACUUGGACCAAAGAUCAACUCAACGAUGAAGUCAAAACGGUGUCCAAAUAUGUGAAGGACCUCCAAGAAAGGCUACAAGACAUACGGUCCCUGGCUAGAAGUAACCUCAUCAAGGCACGUAAGAGACAAGAGAAAUACUACAACAGGAGGGCUAAAGAACGGUCACUCAACGUCGGAGAUAAGGUUCUCUUGUUACUGCCCAAGAACACAAACAAGUUACAGAUUUGUUGGCAAGGCCCAUUCGAGGUGCUGAAAAAGGUAUCGCCCACUAACUACGUCAUUAAAGUCGGUCGCAAGGAGAAGUCUUAUCACGUAAACCUCCUCAAACACUACUUAGAGAGGCCUUCACAAACGGACCCUCCCCGAGACUUGAUGGCUAUAGCGGUGGCCGAGGAUGUGAAAGAACCCAAGGACCUAGUGGAGUACCCCCUCCAUGCAGUGGAGACACACGAGAACGUCACCAUUAGCCCACAGCUAGACGCCGAGCAAACAGCCGAGGUCAAAUCAAUGCUGGGGGAGUUCCAUGACGUCUUGUCGGAUAAGCCUGGCAGAACAUCGCUUGAGCGGUUUUCGAUGAAGCUGUUAAGUGCUGAGCCCAUAAAAGUAAAGGCCUACCCUUUACCUCACGCAAAAGCUGAGGUCAUCAAACAAGAGGUGGAAGAGCUUCUAAAAGCUGGAAUUAUAGCGCCUUCGGUCUCUCCAUACAACGCUCCAGUGGUGCUAGUUCGGAAGCCAGAUGGAGGCCAUCGCAUGUGCAUUGAUUUUCGACGCCUCAAUGCAGUGGCUGAAUUCCAAGCGGAGCCUCUUCCAGACCCAGCCACAAUUUUUGCCAACUUAAGUCACGCUAGGUAUUUUAGCAAAUUUGACUUAAGCCGAGGGUACUAUCAAAUAGAAGUUGAGCCAGAAUGCAGACCUUGCUAGCUUUUAGCACCCCACAAGGGCACUAUGAAUUUCAAACGGUCCCCUUUGGUCUGAAUAACUCGUCUAGCGUGUUCACGCGUAUGAUGAGAAAGCUAUUAGAUCCCAUCGAAAGUCCAGGCAUCCAAAAUUUCAUAGAUGAUAUUCUGAUCGCCACGGAGACCUGGUCCGAACACAUAGCUCUCAUCUCCUCCCUCUUGCUAAGGCUCCGCGAGACGGGUCUGACUGCUCGGCCCUCCAAAUGUCUCAUCGGUUUCACAAGACUCAAAUUCUUAGGCCAUGUCAUUCAAGAAAACCAGCUCAUGCCAGACGAAGAAAAGGUUGCUCAAUUACUCGAGGCUCCCAGGCCGAUCACAAAAACUGGAGUGAGAUCAUUCCUCGGGAUGUGUGGUUACUAUCAAAAGUUCAUCCCACACUUCAACUCUAUCGCUGCCCCACUGUCAGAUCUAACAAAAAAGGAUCGACCAGACAAGGUGACAUGGAAUGAGGAAUGUGAGCUCGCAUUCCAACGACUCAAGGAAUGCCUCACUUCAUCACCAGUGCUCAAGCUACCUGACCUGUCCCGCACUUUCGUGUUGAGGACAGACGCCAGUGGCUCUGGCCUGGGUGCAGUUCUGAUGCAAACUGCCGAAGGAUCCGGUGACACGCUUUUUCCAGUAGCUUACGCAAGCCGUAAACUGAACCAGGCAGAAUCCAACUACGCCACAAUAGAGCUAGAAUGCCUGGCACUGGUGUGGGCGAUAGAGAAAUUCCAGGCAUUCUUAUAUGGAAAGCACUUCACUCUGCAAACCGACCACAAGCCGUUAUCUUACUUAUCCUCCAGCAAGCAUCUAAAUGCCAGACUUAUGAGAUGGUCUUUGCUAUUGCAACCAUACUCCUUCCAGGUUGAACAUGUUCCUGGAUGUCAAAAUGCAGCGCCCGAUUUCCUCAGUCGGCACUGCGUUCUUGAGCCCACAGGCCUCAAUGGGUAUCACCCCUCAGUAAAUUUAAACAAUUAGAUUAGGCAACAACAAAGCUCAAAUGAAACUUGUAUGCAAGCAGUAUUAGUAUUCUGCGAAUACUUUUUAAGUGGGUGGGUAUGUGACGAUACGAAACUUGCAUGCAAAAGUUCAUUUGAGUUUUUCCCAGCAAACCGUGAGAAACUUUAAUUUUUAACUUAAACAAUUAUUUUCUUGUCCACCCAUAACUAAUUUCUUGUAGGAUUUAUCCCCCCUCGCACGUUUCUCACGGGACGAAUCUCGACGUAAAACAUUAACUAGCUUCUCUAGGGCUAACUUUUCAUUUUGACCGCUGGACAGGUGACCCACACACACAAUAUUCGCUUCACCUGCGCUACGCGCUGCGGACUAAUAACUUUUCACACCUAUUUCUCCCCCCUCCCCCCCCCCUCAGAAUACGCAUCGCUCUAAGAAUAGCGUUGCAAUCGGGCUGGACAAAUGCAUAUUCACCUUAGUCCCUACUCUCACGGUACAGGCCAUAAAUCGGACAUGACGCCUGACAUGCCCAGUACAUAGAUACAUGUGAGAAAAUCAGCUAGCUAUCUUCCCCACCCGUUAAACAAAAUGCCCCAACUAUAUAUAGAGAGACCAAAGCAUCCAAGUUAGGCCCGCUAGGAUUCUUACAGUCUCCUCUGUUAGGAAGUUUAGUUGUGAGAUUUCAUUAGGGACAAACGGCCUGGUUGCUACCCCUGAUUGCUACCCCUGAUUGCUACCCCUGGUUACUACACACGAUUGCUACAACUACCAGAUCUCCAUAGAAAGCUGUAACCGAGGCAGACCACACCAGAUACACCCCCCCCCAUUACAUAUCUGUUAGCAAGAAGGCAUCGCCUACUGUCCUUGGCCUUAACAUAUUGCCCAGUGUCCACAGUGCCCUAUACUGCCCAGUAUCAUCUGCCCAGUACCCGGCCCAAACUGUCCACUGCCCAAUAGUUAUUGCCUAAUGCCGACAGAUUAGAGCAACCUUCGCAGCAGAAGACAAACUGGUGUUGAGUUAGCACGGCUCUCUACGAGCUAGAGAUCACAGCUGAGAGAUCGUCCCACUACAACUUAGUCUGCAGCACCAACCAUCUCUAUUGCUAAACAGGCAGCGGCCUCACCCUAGAGCCAGCUUGCCUACAGCAUAGAGAACAUCCCGAGCCGACGUCCUAAGACAGAGCCGGAUGACUCAUCCUUCUGAGUGCCAGUCCUACGACCGCCAGAAGACGACCCACGGGCUAGCAGAUAAGAAAAUAAGUAGCAGACAUAGGAACAUUCUUCUCCUCCAACCACUCAAUAAUUAGCAAUCCAUGAUGAACAGUUAUUUUAGAUAUUAGCACCUUUACUUCUUUUAUUUUCUUAAUUAUAAUUUUAUUUGAUCACUUUCCUUUGUAAACUUUCAUUCAUUAAAUUAUUUUUAUUUAUGAA